GAGGAAUAUUGGUCAAUGGACGGAAGUCUGAACCAGCCAAGUAGCGUGCAGGAUGACGGCCCUAUGGGUUGUAAACUGCUUUUGUAUGGGGAUAAAGUCAAUCACGUGUGAUUGUUUGCAGGUACCAUACGAAUAAGGACCGGCUAAUUCCGUGCCAGCAGCCGCGGUAAUACGGAAGGUUCGGGCGUUAUCCGGAUUUAUUGGGUUUAAAGGGAGCGUAGGCCGGAGAUUAAGUGUGUUGUGAAAUGUAGACGCUCAACGUCUGACUUGCAGCGCAUACUGGUUUCCUUGAGUACGCACAACGUUGGCGGAAUUCGUCGUGUAGCGGUGAAAUGCUUAGAUAUGACGAAGAACUCCGAUUGCGAAGGCAGCUGACGGGAGCGCAACUGACGCUGAAGCUCGAAGGUGCGGGUAUCGAACAGGAUUAGAUACCCUGGUAGUCCGCACAGUAAACGAUGGAUGCCCGCUGUUGGUACCUAGUAUCAGCGGCUAAGCGAAAGCAUUAAGCAUCCCACCUGGGGAGUACGCCGGCAACGGUG
RNAcentral lists this ribosomal RNA (539 nucleotides) under uncultured bacterium. RNAcentral describes it as "bacterial SSU rRNA". It matches the Rfam family "Bacterial small subunit ribosomal RNA", at positions 356 to 896 of the family's 1533-position model. The record is from RNAcentral.